GUUUCUGUAGUGUAGUGGUUUUCACGUUCGCCUCAAACAGAAAGGUCCCCCGGGUUCGAAACCCGGGCAGAAAUACA
Non-coding RNA from Merluccius polli (Benguela hake), 77 nucleotides. The record is from the annotation of a GenBank genome assembly. NCBI's taxonomy places the organism in Eukaryota, Metazoa, Chordata, Actinopteri, Gadiformes, Merlucciidae.